Long non-coding RNA from Polypterus senegalus (gray bichir), 136 nucleotides. RefSeq lists it as uncharacterized. The record is from RefSeq and is a predicted model, not a curated record. Lineage: Eukaryota; Metazoa; Chordata; Cladistia; Polypteriformes; Polypteridae. The transcript is spliced from 3 exons.
AAAUAAAAAAAACAUUUGAAGAGUCAUUUCAAGAAGGCAGUUCUCCAUGAAGUAACAUGACAAAACGAAUAUCUUCAGGCACAUGGAUACUAAUUAAAAACAAGUAUGCUCUGCACCUUGUCUUGGAUGCGCCAUU